Long non-coding RNA from Nothobranchius furzeri (turquoise killifish), 3683 nucleotides. RefSeq lists it as uncharacterized. NCBI's taxonomy places the organism in Eukaryota, Metazoa, Chordata, Actinopteri, Cyprinodontiformes, Nothobranchiidae. The record is from RefSeq and is a predicted model, not a curated record.
CCCACUGUCCAGGCAAGGUCAGGCAGCAGGCCACCAUGUGCGUGCAUGCAUUAGCAUACCUUAUGGGAGCAUGGACAGGUGUCCUCUGUGUCUCAGAGAGGUUACAUGAAGAGGCAUCAGAGUCCUCGUGACAACACAUCAGGACAAGUUGCAUGGAGAUAAAUGUAAGGCAUGUUAAGAUGCACAGACAUACAGGAGGAAGGAGGAAGCCAGGCUGCAGUUUUUCUGGAGGACAAGAGGACCGAGAGGAGAUGCAGGAAGAUGAGAGACAGACAGGACGAAAAAAGUCAAACAAAAAAACAAGAAAACAAAAACAAAAGUGUUUAAAAAGGAAAAAGACAAGUUGUGAUGGUUAAAAAUUUGCAGAAAUUUGAGAAGGUUGCAGUGGAAGUGUGGCGAGCUCAGGAGCUCUGGAGGAGGAGAGGAGGGGAGAGUGGUUCCUGGUGAGAGGGAGCAACAGCUGUUUCUCAUCCACGGGCGGCUAUAUAAGGAGGAGGAAGACCAGAAUACGACGCCGGAUGAUUGCCGUUAACUGGUUCCUGGAUUUUGGAUAACUCGCUCUGCUCCUGGAAGGAAAUCUCUGGUUCGAUCCUGUUUUGUCUCCUCCGCCUGCCGACCUGCUCUCCACCUCGCUCACGCUCCCUCUCCGGAUCAAUAUCCUGGCUCACUCUCCGACUCACCUUCAUCUUGGACCGUUUCCCCAUCUUGGAUAUCACCCCGGCUCACUCCCCACCUAACAACAACUCUUCUUCCGCAUAACGCCGCUUCCUGAUUUGGAUACCCGCUGGACUUCAGUGCCCCCUUAGUUUCCUUUUAAAUAAAUAUCAUUUUACCUUUUACUAUCAAACCUCUCUCCGGUCUCUGAUUCUGCAUGUCUUGGGUUAAACAAAUUCCUCAGAUCAUGACAAGAAUGGAAGCACGAGCAAAUAAGCCCCGUUCUCGCUGCUUUUAAAUCACCGUUGCUAAAUUCCCAAGACAAAAAGAGAAAACCUGCAGAAAUUCCUCAACAACAAUGUAAUUCCUGGGGCUUUGUUGUCUCACUGAGCACGGUAAAAAACGUCACAUUAUGCAUCACACAGCAGAACUUCCUGUCCUUUUAGUGGAUUCAAUUAUCAUAGGUGGACAGAGUAAAACUUUAAAUGUUUUGGCACUAAUCAGUGACAUUUCUCACUUCCAAAGCAGACGUCUGUGCUAAGUCCUUCAAGGGCUGGUCUUGUAUGGAGACACAACAGCUGUGAGGACCAGGCCAUUUUAUCUUCUGGUCAUUUUCCCCCUCCCAGAAUUUACCCUGAAGUUCUGGCAAUGUGGGAACAAUCAGUGCAUCAUGGUGGAGGAGCUAAGCUUCAAGGCAAAGCUCUGGUUUUACUGGUGGGUUCCAUCCCUCACCUAUGGUCUUUGGAUUUGGAGAUUCCAGAUACCAUCUUCCUCCACAAGAUUGCAGGAGAUAGUGAAAAAGUGAGGACUUCCAUCCUCUGAGGGAGUUUGGAGUAGAGCUGCUGCUCUUACACAUAUAGAGAAGUCAACAGAGGUGGGUUAGGUAUCUGAUUUAGGUAGAGGAGUUUUGGAAACAUCCAACUGGGAGGAAACCACGGGGCAGACCUGGAACCCUGGGAUACCCCUCUAAUAUGCCCAAAUGACCCCUCCAUUCAGACUGCCCCACCUUCAGCGGGAAUAUGUUAGGUCAUAAACUACAGCAUAAAGUAACUACAGGCAGGAGAAACACAUUUUCAGCGUUUUGCAGCAUUUCUUGGUGAGGUUACCAGGCUGUCAAUAUUCUUUCACAAUGCCUAUACGAAACUGAGGGCUGCUGGACCACCAGGUGGUCAGUUUCUCUCUCUCUCUCUCUCUCUCACACACACACACACACACACACACACACACACACACACACACACACACACACACACACACACACACCCAGACGUAUGCACUGACCCCUUAUCGACUCUUUCUGCUCCAUAUGUCAUCUGAAGUCCUGCUGGGCAUCUGUGGCCUGCUUCUCUUUAUGCUCUCACCUGAUUGGUUCUAGUGUUCCCUUUAACACCUGAUCGUUAUUAUAAGAUGUAUUUCUUUCUAACUAACUGAUGGUCAGUGCUGCUGUGUUUACGUAUUAACAGCAUAGCCUCAUGGAGUCUCAAUCAUUCUUAACAAAAGCCCUGUGCAGCUGCAGAGGAAAAUAAGCCUUUUGAUUUUCUAAACUCUUCUCCUGACCGGUUCCAAAUUAAUAUUUCGUAAUCUGUUUCUCAUAUAAGAAGAUUAGGGGGAUCUAUUUUUUCCUGAGGAUUUUAAUCUUUGCCUUUACAGGCAGCCACUGACUGGAGCUGCUGGAACAAACCUCUCAUACAAUGGAGACUGCAAUGACACGGAGCAAGGUAAAGGUUUGUAACAAGAAACACAAACGUUUCUUCCUAAUCUGCAGCUGUGAGGAUGAAAGUCCAUAUGAAAUAAAUGCUCAAAUGCCUUAUUUUAGAUGUUUUUUUUAUUUUUUUACAAAUUCUAAAUUUCCUUAAAGUGGUUUCUGGUGCUUUUAGAGUUUCAUGCACACUGUGCACCGAGCGUUGUUUGCAGAAGUCUUUUCCCUGACAAUCAAUGCCAGAUAAAGGUCACUGACUUUUAGAUUCCUUUCUAAUUCAGAGCUUGCUCCACCUGUGAUCAGAUGUUCAGCCAUACUUACAUAAAUGGCUGCAUUUUCAUCCUAAUUAGAUCCUCUUAUGUUAUUUUCAGCAUAAUUUUCCUGUUUUUCCCCUACGUGAAAAUAAUUUUAUCUACAGAAAAAUAAAUAUAAGGAACAGCAGCUUUAUUUGUAUGGCACAUUUCAUUCAAAGGGGCAAUUCAAUGUGCUUUCCAUUAGCAAGAAUAGAGAAAACAUUUAAAUCAAUGUGAUAGCACAAAUUAAGUACACACAAAUGAGAUAAAAAGACAAAGUUAAAGGGUGAGCGGUUACAGUGCAGAAACAUUCAUUCAAAGGCUGAUGAAAACAUGAAGAGUUUAAGUUUUGAUUCAAAAGUUACUAAAGUUGGGGUCCAUGUUAGGUCAGGAAGCUGAUUUCAUCUGUGAGCAGAAUAGUAGCUCAAAGCAGCUUCACCCUGUUUGGUUCUGACCCAGAGUUCUGCCAGCUGACCGCUUCCUAAGGACCUUAGAGUUCUGUUGGGUACAUACACAGGAAGUAGAUCCAACAUGUAUUCUGGCCUCAUGCCAUUGAAUGAUUUAUAAAGCACACUGACAGUGCUCGGUUCUCUUGGUUCUUGUUGGGACUCUAGCAGCAGCACUCGGAAUAAGCAGCCGUUGCUACACAGCUUAUCAGUCAAAAGACCAUUGCAAUAUUCCAGCCUGCUGCAGAUGAACGCAUGAACGAAUUUCUCUAGGUCUUGUCUGGACAUGAGUCUUGCUAAUGGAUGAAGAGAAUGAAACGCUGAUCUAGCUAUAGCAUUAAUGUGACCAGUGAAGCUCAGGUCUGAAUCAAUGAUAUGAUGAUUUCUAACCUGGGUCUUUGUCUUUAUUCCUCUGGAGCCAAUUUAAGCAAUAACCUCCAUCAUAUCCUUCUUAUUUGCCCUGCGAUGGACUGGCUCUCUGUCCAGGGUGUACCCCGCCUGAUUGCCCGUUGACCGCUGGAGAUAGGCACCAGCCCCCCCAAACUCCCUCCCCCGCGCAACCCCGUGUGCACAAAGCGGGUUCAGAAGAUG